AACGAACGCUGGCGGCAGGCUUAACACAUGCAAGUCGAACGCCCCGCAAGGGGAGUGGCAGACGGGUGAGUAACGCGUGGGAACAUACCCUUUUCUACGGAAUAGCUCUGGGAAACUGGAAUUAAUACCGUAUACGCCCUACGGGGGAAAGAUUUAUCGGGGAAGGAUUGGCCCGCGUUGGAUUAGCUAGUGGGUGGGGUAAAGGCCUACCAAGGCGACGAUCCAUAGCUGGUCUGAGAGGAUGAUCAGCCACAUUGGGACUGAGACACGGCCCAAACUCCUACGGGAGGCAGCAGUGGGGAAUAUUGGACAAUGGGCGCAAGCCUGAUCCAGCCAUGCCGCGUGAGUGAUGAAGGCCUUAGGGUUGUAAAGCUCUUUCACCGAUGAAGAUAAUGACGGUAGUCGGAGAAGAAGCCCCGGCUAGCUUCGUG
Molecule: ribosomal RNA, 431 nt
Filed under: uncultured bacterium
Lineage: Bacteria
Description: partial 16S ribosomal RNA
Rfam family: Bacterial small subunit ribosomal RNA
Source: RNAcentral